Molecule: long non-coding RNA, 1379 nt
Organism: Panthera uncia (snow leopard)
Lineage: Eukaryota; Metazoa; Chordata; Mammalia; Carnivora; Felidae
Exons: 4
Source: RefSeq, a predicted model, not a curated record
CCCAGGAUGCUGGUGUCCUCUAUGGAGCUUUCUCAGCUCCCGCAGGGCUGGCCAUCGUCAGCCGGCCACCUGCCCUGUACUCACAUCAGUAAUCUGGCUCCAGUCCCUGGAGUUUCCAAGCUCCACCUUCAGGUCCUCAUAGGAUUUGGCGUUCUGCACAGAAAGUAAAUAACAAGUUAGACCCGGUUCUCAGCAGAGGAAAUGGAAGAACUUUUUCCUUCAGGAGUUGGAAGAAGGUUCCCCUCAGGAAUUUGACGGAAGACCUGACUAAAAAUAAGUAGUAGACCAUAAAACAGACGACCCACAAGGAAUGAUAUGGCCAUAGACCACCCUCACACAAUGGAAUCGGGCCAAUCAGGACUGGACAACGCAGAGUUAUCCAGCCAAUAAGGAAAACCUUCCAUUUUGAGGACCUGCCCUCUGCUUCUAUGUGCGACCAGUUCCAGAGAAUCCUGUGGAAGUCUGACUCCCUGUCCCUCAGGUGCCUGGCACUGAGCUUGCCUUCAGCAACUAUUGUCUGGCGAGAGACUGGAGCCGUCUGGUUCCCAGGGAGACUCGAUCCCAUUCCAAAGGAGAGACAGGUGCUUCUCAGCUCCCCUUUUGUGACAGCUCCGAAGUUUACCCGUGUGCCUCAUGUCCCCACCCCAGUCAGGAGCCCAGAGCCAGGGUAAAAGCGCGCACGGCAGAGGCGUGUCUGGGAAGGAGGACAGGGGGCACCCUGCCUCGGGCGGGCCCUCACCCACGGAGCCCACAUUGUGGAUUUUGCCCAGGCCUGACGUCUGAUUAGGUAGCGUCCACUUCUGGAAGAGCUGCUGAAAGACAGCUGACUCGGCCCCAUCGUUCUGCACCUCCACCUGUGUGUUCGGGGGGUACUGCUUCGCUUUGAUAAAGUUCUGGGAAGAGAAAGCGGUGGCUGGGUCUGUGUCCCUCUCUGAACCCCCAUAGCCCUCCAAUGCAAGUGACAGCCUGGCUCUAACCCCAACCAGACCCAACCACAAACCUACCCCAGGUCCCAAGCACAAACUAGAACCCAACCCCAGUCCCAGGGCUGACCCAAAGCUAAGGCCUGCUCUGGCCUCAACCCCAAAACCAAAUGAGACCUCAGUUCUGACCCUGACCCCUAGCUGCCAUCUCCAACCUUGAGCCCAAUCCCCAUUCUCACUCUGACCCCAAGCCAGCUAGGGUUAUUGACUCCAACCCCAGUAAUGACCCCAAACUCUGACUUAGCCCCAGCCUCCUGCUGACCCGAUCCCCUCUUGUAAAAAGGUCAGCUUCCAUUUCUCCCUCCUUUCUCUGAACUGAGCUUGAGGUGGGAGCUCACAUCCUGAGGAGGCCCCCAGGUUGCCUGUUGGUGGGCCCCUGGUAGCAGGCAGCGACCC